RNAcentral lists this ribosomal RNA (460 nucleotides) under uncultured bacterium. Its description in RNAcentral is "partial 16S ribosomal RNA". It matches the Rfam family "Bacterial small subunit ribosomal RNA", at positions 338 to 795 of the family's 1533-position model. The record is from RNAcentral.
CCUACGGGCGGCAGCAGUGAGGAAUAUUGGUCAAUGGACGAGAGCCUGAACCAGCCAAGUAGCGUGAAGGAUGACUGCCCUAUGGGUUGUAAACUCCUUCUAUAUGGGAAUAAAAUGUUCCACUUGUGACAUUUUGUAUGUACCAUAUGAAUAAGGAUCGGCUAACUCCGCGCCAGCAGCGGCGGUAAUACGGAGGAGCCGAGCGUUGUCCGGAUUUAUUGGGGUUAAAGCGAGCGUAGGUGGGUGGUUAAGUCAGAUGUGAAAGUUACGGGCUUAACCGGGAAAUUGCAGUUGAAACUGGCAAGCUAGAGUAUAGUAGAGGGGGGUAGAAUGCGAAGUGUAGCGGUGAAAUGCGUAGAUAUCAGGAAGAACACCGAUGGCGAAGGCGGCCCACUGGACAAAGACUGACGCUGAGGUGCGAAAGUGUGGGGAUCAAACAGGAGUAGAUACCCCAGUAGUC